GACGAACGCUGGCGGCGUGCCUAAUACAUGCAAGUUGAGCGAUGAAGCUUGGUGCUUGCACCAAUUUGAAGAGCAGCGAACGGGUGAGUAACGCGUGGGGAAUCUGCCUUUGAGCGGGGGACAACAUUUGGAAACGAAUGCUAAUACCGCAUAAUAACUUUAAACAUAAGUUUUAAGUUUGAAAGAUGCAAUUGCAUCACUCAAAGAUGAUCCCGCGUUGUAUUAGCUAGUUGGUGAGGUAAAGGCUCACCAAGGCGAUGAUACAUAGCCGACCUGAGAGGGUGAUCGGCCACAUUGGGACUGAGACACGGCCCAAACUCCUACGGGAGGCAGCAGUAGGGAAUCUUCGGCAAUGGACGAAAGUCUGGCCGAGCAACGCCGCGUGAGUGAAGAAGGUUUUCGGAUCGUAAAACUCUGUUGGUAGAGAAGAACGUUGGUGAGAGUGGAAAGCUCAUCAAGUGACGGUAACUACCCAGAAAGGGACGGCUAACUACGUG
This 497-nucleotide ribosomal RNA is filed under the name uncultured bacterium. RNAcentral's name for it is "partial 16S ribosomal RNA". It matches the Rfam family "Bacterial small subunit ribosomal RNA", at positions 28 to 507 of the family's 1533-position model. The record is from RNAcentral.